GAUGAACGCUGGCGGCGUGCCUAAUACAUGCAAGUCGAGCGAACAGAUGAGGAGCUUGCUCCUCUGACGUUAGCGGCGGACGGGUGAGUAACACGUGGAUAACCUACCUAUAAGACUGGGAUAACUUCGGGAAACCGGAGCUAAUACCGGAUAAUAUAUUGAACCGCAUGGUUCAAUAGUGAAAGACGGUUUUGCUGUCACUUAUAGAUGGAUCCGCGCCGCAUUAGCUAGUUGGUAAGGUAACGGCUUACCAAGGCAACGAUGCGUAGCCGACCUGAGAGGGUGAUCGGCCACACUGGAACUGAGACACGGUCCAGACUCCUACGGGAGGCAGCAGUAGGGAAUCUUCCGCAAUGGGCGAAAGCCUGACGGAGCAACGCCGCGUGAGUGAUGAAGGUCUUCGGAUCUUAAAACUCUGUUAUUAGGGAAGAACAAAUGUGUAAGUAACUAUGCACGUCUUGACGGUACCUAAUCAGAAAGCCACGGCUAACUACGUG
RNAcentral lists this ribosomal RNA (497 nucleotides) under uncultured bacterium. RNAcentral describes it as "partial 16S ribosomal RNA". It matches the Rfam family "Bacterial small subunit ribosomal RNA", at positions 28 to 507 of the family's 1533-position model. The record is from RNAcentral.